AUACGAAGGGGGCUAGCGUUGUUCGGAAUUACUGGGCGUAAAGCGCGCGUAGGCGGACUGAUCAGUUGGGGGUGAAAUCCCAGAGCUUAACCCUGGAACUGCCUCCAAUACUGUCAGUCUUGAGUUCGGGAGAGGUGAGUGGAAUUCCUAGUGUAGAGGUGAAAUUCGUAGAUAUUAGGAAGAACACCAGUGGCGAAGGCGUCUCACUGGCCCGAUACUGACGCUGAGGCGCGAAAGCGUGGGGAGCAAACAGGAUUAGAAACCCUUGUAGUCC
This 274-nucleotide ribosomal RNA is filed under the name uncultured bacterium. RNAcentral describes it as "partial 16S ribosomal RNA". It matches the Rfam family "Bacterial small subunit ribosomal RNA", at positions 523 to 796 of the family's 1533-position model. The record is from RNAcentral.